Long non-coding RNA from Pan troglodytes (chimpanzee), 1444 nucleotides. RefSeq lists it as uncharacterized. NCBI's taxonomy places the organism in Eukaryota, Metazoa, Chordata, Mammalia, Primates, Hominidae. The record is from RefSeq and is a predicted model, not a curated record. The transcript is spliced from 7 exons.
AGAACAGCAAUAGACUUUCAAGAGGAGGAACUCACAUUUCUGCAAAAGAAAGAGGCCAUAAAUGAAAAGCAGCUUGGAGAGAAUGAGCCCACAUGCAUGAGACACAGCACACGACUCAUACCCUUCUUCCUCAAGUUUCUCUAACAUGUGUGGCUCUUGGAAACAGACAUGUAAUGGCUGAGUUAUUUUUUGUGCAAAUAAGUUGUGGUGUUCUAUCAGUGCCAUUGAAGUGUGGCGCGGAAGAACAGGCUCCUGUCGGUACAUUCCCCUGCCCCUGCGCUUGUUCAUAGUUCUCACAUGUGAGGGGAAAGGAGAAGGCUUUGGGUUUGCAUCUGAUUUACCAACUGUUCCUCAGGACACAUCUGCCUCUCCAGGACCUCAGAUUCCUGACAACACUGUUGGCUUCCCGGAGACUCCUUCAUCCUGCAGAAGAUGCAAUUCCACGGGGUCCUGAGAGAUUGGACAUGGACAUCUGGCUGUGGGCUGUGAGACAUAAACCUCCAUGUCAAGCUCAUACAAAAUCAGCCACGCAAACACUGACCUCCAGGGCUGUUUUAACCAUUCGUGAGUCCCUGAGUUGGCCGGGCAUCAAAAUCAGUGUGGAUAAGAACUAAAUCUUGUUGGAGGAUUGCUUUGGAGGGUUUCACUCUGUCACCCAGGCUGGAAUGCCAUGAUAAAAUCACAGCUCACUAUAGCCUCGACCUCCCAGGCUUGAGUGAUCCUCCCACCUCAGCCUCCUGAGUAGGUGGGACUACAGGUUCUCAUUCACACUCAGUCUUGGAAAAACCAUCACCUUGUCCUGAAUCUACACUGCACUUAACCUAUUUGUUUGUUGCGUUCUUAAGUGAAGGAAAAAUCACUUUCACAGAUAAAAAGCAGGUCUGCACAGUCCCUCCGGUAGAGCCAAAGAGGUGGCAUCAACAUAAAAGAUUUUCCUGGUCAGCUCCUCCUGUAAAAUACGUUUGCCUCUGGAGAUCUUCCUCCCCAAUGGCACCAUCUUGACAAAGGUCACUGGAAGUAAAGGAGCCUGAAAAUCCACAGUUUCAUCUUUGUGCUUUCUUGAAGCUGAAAGAGAGGAUUUCUUCAUUCUGUCUCACUUUGCAAAGGCACAUCCCCCCUUCCCACUGAGUGGACUUGAUGAAAGCAUCUCAUGGAAGAAAGAGCUAGUGAUUGUGCAUCAACCACUUGCAAUGUCAUUUCACGGCUGCACCUGUCAGGUCCAGCCAUUUUAAUUAGCCAAUGAUUUAAGGCAAAGGAAUUCCCAGGAAAAUCAGAUAAAACACAGAGGAAAACAACUUUAGAACCUGGACAGAUAAGAUCUAUGAUAUGAAUACAAUCAACUUACAACUCUGGCUUCUAAUGGGUUUGCUGUUUUUUAGAUUUCACUGCUCUGAAAUUGACUAAGUUUGACUAGUAAACAAUAAAGCUUCUAGGCUCCUCAAAA